UUCCAACAACUUGCCAUGCCAAAAAGAAGAUGAGAAAUGAUCUUGUAUUGGUUUAAGCCCUUUGUAUGAUUUAGAAAGCAACCUAUCCUUAAUGCAAAGCAAUUCACUUGAUCAUUUGAUCAAGAUGAAUUAGAUUUGAAUCAAGGAAGAUUAAACCUCCCUAAUCAAUGCUAACUUAUCAACCUUUAACUCAUUGAUCAAAAA
RNAcentral lists this long non-coding RNA (204 nucleotides) under Lathyrus oleraceus (garden pea). RNAcentral's name for it is "Pisum sativum (pea) long non-coding RNA (PSAT_LNC016425)". Lineage: Eukaryota; Viridiplantae; Streptophyta; Magnoliopsida; Fabales; Fabaceae. The record is from RNAcentral.